GCUCGGCCAACCUAACCAUUGAUCUAAAGAAUGCAACAAGAUAGUCAUAUGAUGAAUGAUAAUUUCAAUACCCAAUAGAUACCAAGCAUGUGGCACCUCCAAUGCCUAUUUAGGAUAUUGGAUGCAUUAUCAUGUACCUUAAUAAGAGGCUACUAGUUAUCCCCAUAACUAGCCCUACAAGUCAUAAAUUCUCUUACUGACUUUAUCAAGUUAUAUAAAGGACUAGAGACUAGCUGGUCCAAUCGACAAGUCGUAAAUCUUUUCACUAACUUCACUAAGUCAUAAGAAGGACUAGAGAUAAAUCGAUCCAGAGCACCUAAAUCAAUCAUACUGAUUAACCUUAACGAUGUAGAUCAACUCGAGUCACUAG
Molecule: long non-coding RNA, 370 nt
Filed under: Elaeis guineensis (African oil palm)
Lineage: Eukaryota; Viridiplantae; Streptophyta; Magnoliopsida; Arecales; Arecaceae
Description: long non-coding RNA (EGUI_LNC053383)
Source: RNAcentral